GACAGAGGGUGCAACCGUUGCUCGGAAUUACUGGGCGUAAAGCGCGUGUAGGUGGACUGGUGUGUCAGAUGUGAAAUCCCUGGGCUCAACCCAGGAACUGCACCUGAAACUACCAGCCUUGAGUGGUGGAGAGGGAAGUGGAAUUCCUGGUGUAGAGGUGAAAUUCGUAGAUAUCAGGAGGAACACCAGUGGCGAAGGCGGCUUCCUGGACACCAACUGACGCUGAGACGCGAAAGCGUGGGGAGCAAACAGG
Molecule: ribosomal RNA, 253 nt
Filed under: uncultured bacterium
Lineage: Bacteria
Description: partial 16S ribosomal RNA
Rfam family: Bacterial small subunit ribosomal RNA
Source: RNAcentral